UGUUGAGGGACCACUUACAAUUAUUUCACAAAUUACUGUUAAAAUAGAAAAGUUUCAGCUCUAAAAUCAAUAUUAAUCACUAGAAUUUCAACAAAGACAUAUUAAUCAGUUUUAGCAAUUUUUCUCCAUUUUAAAAUCAUGCAUUGAUGGUGUAUACUAAAAUCAUGUCACAUUAUUAGUUUUUUUUUUUAAAUAAAUAAUAUUAACAGUUUUUAUUUUUAGUAUAUUAAAUAUAAAUCCAUAAAAUCGGCAUAAAAUAAGAACGGAUUGCAUGAAGAUAGUAAGUAUAGAUGGAAAAGUAGAGAAUUAAGUGGCUUACUCUCGAAAGGAGGCAUAUCAAGGACUGCAUUUGGUUUCUACCAAGUGAGUCACCAACAAAGGCCAAAGAUUUGCCCCUAACAAUCUCCAGGAACUGAGCUGGGUUCAGCACAGUUCUGGUGCUCGUGUAUGGCCCAGCACGUCGUGUUGGUGUAGUACGGCGCGGCGUGGUUCGGCACCCAUUCCCCCAAGAAUAUGUCGCAGUCCUCUCCUUCGGAUAUCUUUAUCGAAGGCAGGGAUUCGGAUUGUUGAGACUCGUAUGCGGUGGUGGGCAAGGGCCUGGAAGAUGAGGCUUUUGAGACGUAUAAAGGAUACCCUAUCAAAGGGUAAAGCACAGGGAUUACUGUGAGAACAACUAAGGUGACAAAGA
Long non-coding RNA from Gossypium arboreum, 688 nucleotides. RefSeq lists it as uncharacterized. The transcript has 2 exons. The record is from RefSeq and is a predicted model, not a curated record. Lineage: Eukaryota; Viridiplantae; Streptophyta; Magnoliopsida; Malvales; Malvaceae.